Molecule: long non-coding RNA, 2200 nt
Organism: Mauremys reevesii (Reeves's turtle)
Lineage: Eukaryota; Metazoa; Chordata; Testudines; Geoemydidae
Exons: 6
Source: RefSeq, a predicted model, not a curated record
CCCGCGCACCGAAGGGCCGGCUAUUUGCAGCCGCUCAGCCCCGGGGCAGGUUCGUCGCUCUUACGAUAUUAGCACCGGGCGAAAGAUCGCACAGCGCGGCUCCUCCAUGCAAGCUGAAGGGUUUCCGCCUUCAGCACAGGGAGGUGGCUCCCGGCUUCUCUGCUUCAAGGCUUCGGAAGAGGCGAGGAGAUGGGGCGGCCCGUGGCCAGUUAUCCUAGCGAACGCUACGAACAGUGAUGGCCGGGGAUAGGGGCUGUUCCCCCCCCUUCCCCACCAGACACGCACCCACUGUUUCUGGGGCCCCUCCCUGGGGAAGGAGAGCUCCGUGCGGAGGUGAGGAAUCCCAUUAGCCUGUAAGCCCUUUGCCGAGGAGAACAAAGCCACGCACACAAGCCCGCCUUUGCUGCCAUACUGAUUGCACUCUGGGCCGCCCCAGAUGUGCAGGCCCUUCCAUAGAACAGUGGCUGGGGAGCUUAUUAACACCCGUCCGGGCCCUCCAAGGGGCAGACGGAGACGAGCUGAUCGAGGCAAAUGGAAAGGCCAGCGGCAGUAACCCCCAUCCCUUCUGCUCUCGCCCGGGACAGCGGGGGCCCAGCUGUGGGGCAAUGCCUCCCCCUGCCGGCCGCUGGGCACCGUGCACCCACACCCCGGGUCCCUGAGAACGCCUUUCUCUCCGAGGCACCCGGGACGAGCCCUGCUCAGCAAACGCGACAUUGUUAUCCCCGCUACAGGGCAUCGUGCUUGGCCCCUGAGGAGAACGCGUCUGCUGGCAGCUCCUUUUCCUGGCUGCUGCUGGGCAAGGUGCUGGGGGAGGGGAGCCGCAAAGGGGAACUAGCCGCAUCACAUUUAUACUCGUCACAAAACGACAUUUAUUUUCAACAAAGCGCCAUUGAUUUUGUAGCUUGGUGGACCCAAGUGGGACAUUAGCAUUAACCCUAACAGACCACACUUCUGGCCCGCUGACAUUUCUAAUCACCGUUACAGAAGCGUGCAUGGAAUGAGAUAGUAGGGUGAGAUGUAGCCAAACCCUGGAUCCAACCUUAGUUUGUUUGUUUGGGUUUUUUGUUUUGUUUUUUGGUGGUGGGGGUAGCAGAAAUCCUAACCUGGAUCUGGGUCCCAUUUUUUUGCAAAUAGUACCCCCCUUCUUAAAUUGGUUAGCUCCAAACCCCAGGUCUACCUCCUGCAAACUUCUGAAACUCUCAGUGUCUUUCACUGUAUGUCCUACAGACAGACCUCAGUAGAAAUACCAGUUUAAUUUCAUUUAUAUACCAUUCCUCAGAGUUCUAGGCUUAUGUAGGACAUUUUUACAGACAGAGUCAAGCUGCCAACCUCUACUCCCAGAAGGGAACCAGCUCUUCUGGCCUGUGGUACAUCCUGCAUGUUACAGACUUACCUGAGGUCAUACUGGAACAAAAGAGAAGGUCUGCUGGCUAGUGAAAGGCAAACAAAAAUCAGAAACGUAUAUAUCCCACACGCCACAUUGCAUUGACAAGUGCUUCCUGUCCCAUUGCAUUUCUACCACCUGAUCUAGAAAAAGUACAAAGUGCAAAGAAAUCAUCUGGCAUGAGGUAUUAAACCCAAGGGAAAACUGAAGGACAGAUUUGCUGUGUACAGAAGCAACCGGAAGGUUUAAUUCCUAGUGUUGCCCCUUGCCCUCUGUGCUGCCAGUGUUAAAUUCAAAGAGGAGACCAGCUUGAAAAUCGAUGACUUUAUGUGGCCUUAAAAUUACACACUAAUGGUUCAGAUGUACGAGCGUCCCAUGAAAUUGGAGCCAGCAUAGAAAUCUGGGAAAGAUUGGAGGUUAAGUCCCGCCAGAGUUUAGAAGGGCAGAUGUUUGCCAUUCUGGAGACAGAUUAUUUAACCCUGGUGGGUAGAACGGCCCAGCUAGGAUAGAAAGAAAAAUCAGAAAGAGACUGGCAGUUUUGGUGAGAAAAACAUGCUGAGAAAGUAGACACCAAUCUGUUUGGAAUCUGCAGGAUUAUAAAAGCCAGCUAGAUGCAGCUUAAAGCCAAGAGGUGAUGGCAGUUGAGAAGAAGGAGUUUUUGCAGUCAAGGCCCAGAAAUGCCAAGAACAUAACGACAAAGGGCUCACUUCUUGGGAGCCUGCUGCAGGUCGCCUAGUUUAGUAUUUACAUGUUAAAUAUUUAAGGAUUUUUCCUAUUUCAGAGUAUUUGUUACAUUGUUUUGUCUUGGUGCAACAA